UACCUGAUUCUUAGUCAAGACUGUGGGCUU
RNAcentral lists this non-coding RNA (30 nucleotides) under Rattus norvegicus (Norway rat). Lineage: Eukaryota; Metazoa; Chordata; Mammalia; Rodentia; Muridae. The record is from RNAcentral.